This 821-nucleotide ribosomal RNA is filed under the name uncultured bacterium. RNAcentral describes it as "bacterial SSU rRNA". It matches the Rfam family "Bacterial small subunit ribosomal RNA", at positions 61 to 892 of the family's 1533-position model. The record is from RNAcentral.
GUCGAACGGACUCAUAUUGAAACCUAGUGAUUUAUGAGUUAGUGGCGGACGGGUGAGUAACGCGUGGAUAACCUGCCGUAUACCGGGGGAUAACACUUAGAAAUAGGUGCUAAUACCGCAUAAGCGCACGGCUCCGCAUGGGGCAGUGUGAAAAACUCCGGUGGUAUACGAUGGAUCCGCGUCUGAUUAGCUAGUUGGCGGGGUAACGGCCCACCAAGGCAGCGAUCAGUAGCCGGCCUGAGAGGGUGGACGGCCACAUUGGGACUGAGACACGGCCCAAACUCCUACGGGAGGCAGCAGUGGGGAAUAUUGCACAAUGGGGGAAACCCUGAUGCAGCGACGCCGCGUGAGUGAAGAAGUAUCUCGGUACGUAAAGCUCUAUCAGCAGGGAAGAAAAUGACGGUACCUGACUAAGAAGCCCCGGCUAACUACGUGCCAGCAGCCGCGGUAAUACGUAGGGGGCAAGCGUUAUCCGGAUUUACUGGGUGUAAAGGGAGCGUAGACGGCAGCACAAGUCUGGAGUGAAAUCCCGGGGCUUAACCCCGGAACUGCUUUGGAAACUGUGCGGCUGGAGUGCAGGAGGGGUAAGCGGAAUUCCUAGUGUAGCGGUGAAAUGCGUAGAUAUUAGGAGGAACACCGGUGGCGAAGGCGGCUUACUGGACUGUAACUGACGUUGAGGCUCGAAAGCGUGGGGAGCAAACAGGAUUAGAUACCCUGGUAGUCCACGCCGUAAACGAUGAUUACUAGGUGUCGGGGGACCAAGGUUCUCCGGUGCCGGCGCAAACGCAUUAAGUAAUCCACCUGGGGAGUACGUUCGCAAG